AUGAUUUCAAAGGCAACUUCAUUUACAAUCAAACCUCAACCUUUUAUCAUUUACAAAAUAAACCUCGACUUUAACUUUAAAACUUUAAAAAUUGCAAAAGUAAAUAUAAAAGACUUUAAUCACUUUUGUCGCAUAGUUUACAUUAGGCCAAAAGUUAUAACUAAUGGGAAUGGUACAAGUCUAACCAUUAAACACAAUAUAAUAUAUAUGCCUCAUGAUCACAAAUUCUAA
Non-coding RNA from Vicia faba (fava bean), 231 nucleotides. Lineage: Eukaryota; Viridiplantae; Streptophyta; Magnoliopsida; Fabales; Fabaceae. The record is from the annotation of a GenBank genome assembly.